UCCUCGAUAGCUCAGUUGGUAGAGCGCCUGACUGUUAAUCAGGUUGUCGCAGGUUCGAUCCCUGCUCGAGGAGCCA
RNAcentral lists this transfer RNA (76 nucleotides) under Selenomonas sputigena. RNAcentral describes it as "tRNA-Asn". It matches the Rfam family "tRNA". Rfam says of the family: Transfer RNA (tRNA) molecules are approximately 80 nucleotides in length. Their secondary structure includes four short double-helical elements and three loops (D, anti-codon, and T loops). Lineage: Bacteria; Bacillati; Bacillota; Negativicutes; Selenomonadales; Selenomonadaceae. The record is from RNAcentral. RNAcentral also lists the same sequence under 1 other name.